RNAcentral lists this ribosomal RNA (483 nucleotides) under uncultured bacterium. RNAcentral's name for it is "partial 16S ribosomal RNA". It matches the Rfam family "Bacterial small subunit ribosomal RNA", at positions 28 to 523 of the family's 1533-position model. The record is from RNAcentral.
GACGAACGCUGGCGGCGUGCUUAACACAUGCAAGUCGAACGAUGAAGCCGGAGCUUGCUCCGGUGGAUUAGUGGCGAACGGGUGAGUAACACGUGAGCAAUCUGCCCUUGACUCUGGGAUAACCGCGGGAAACUGUAGCUAAUACCGGAUACGACACCUUGGGGCAUCCCAGGGUGUGGAAGGAAUUUCGGUCAAGGAUGAGCUCGCGGCCUAUCAGCUAGUUGGUGAGGUAAUGGCUCACCAAGGCGACGACGGGUAGCCGGCCUGAGAGGGUGACCGGCCACACUGGAACUGAGACACGGUCCAGACUCCUACGGGAGGCAGCAGUGGGGAAUAUUGCACAAUGGGCGAAAGCCUGAUGCAGCAACGCCGCGUGAGGGAUGAAGGCCUUCGGGUUGUAAACCUCUUUUAGCAGGGAAGAAGCGAAAGUGACGGUACCUGCAGAAAAAGCACCGGCUAACUACGUGCCAGCCGCCGCAGUAA